GGUUAAGUGACUAAGCGUACACGGUGGAUGCCCUGGCAGUCAGAGGCGAUGAAGGACGUGCUAAUCUGCGAAAAGCGUCGGUAAGGUGAUAUGAACCGUUAUAACCGGCGAUGUCCGAAUGGGGAAACCCAGUGCAAUUCGUUGCACUAUCGUUAACUGAAUACAUAGGUUAACGAGGCGAACCGGGGGAACUGAAACAUCUAAGUACCCCGAGGAAAAGAAAUCAACCGAGAUUCCCCCAGUAGCGGCGAGCGAACGGGGAGCAGCCCAGAGUCUGAAUCAGCUUGUGUGUUAGUGGAACGGUCUGGAAAGUCCGACGGUACAGGGUGAUAGUCCCGUACACCAAAAUGCACAGGUUGUGAACUCGAAGAGUAGGGCGGGACACGUGGUAUCCUGUCUGAAUAUGGGGGGACCAUCCUCCAAGGCUAAAUACUCCUGACUGACCGAUAGUGAACCAGUACCGUGAGGGAAAGGCGAAAAGAACCCCGGCGAGGGGAGUGAAAAAGAACCUGAAACCGUGUACGUACAAGCAGUGGGAGCACCUUCGGGUGUGACUGCGUACCUUUUGUAUAAUGGGUCAGCGACUUAUAUUCUGUAGCAAGGUUAACCGUAUAGGGGAGCCGCAGGGAAACCGAGUCUUAACUGGGCGUUAAGUUGCAGGGUAUAGACCCGAAACCCGGUGAUCUAGCCAUGGGCAGGUUGAAGGUUGGGUAACACUAACUGGAGGACCGAACCGACUAAUGUUGAAAAAUUAGCGGAUGACUUGUGGCUGGGGGUGAAAGGCCAAUCAAACCGGGAGAUAGCUGGUUCUCCCCGAAAGCUAUUUAGGUAGCGCCUCGUGAACUCAUCUUCGGGGGUAGAGCACUGUUUCGGCUAGGGGGUCAUCCCGACUUACCAACCCGAUGCAAACUACGAAUACCGAAGAAUGUUAUCACGGGAGACACACGGCGGGUGCUAACGUCCGUCGUGAAGAGGGAAACAACCCAGACCGCCAGCUAAGGUCCCAAAGUCAUGGUUAAGUGGGAAACGAUGUGGGAAGGCACAGACAGCCAGGAUGUUGGCUUAGAAGCAGCCAUCAUUUAAAGAAAGCGUAAUAGCUCACUGGUCGAGUCGGCCUGCGCGGAAGAUGUAACGGGGCUAAACCAUGCACCGAAGCUGCGGCAGCGACACUAUGUGUUGUUGGGUAGGGGAGCGUUCUGUAAGCCUGCGAAGGUGUGCUGUGAGGCAUGCUGGAGGUAUCAGAAGUGCGAAUGCUGACAUAAGUAACGAUAAAGCGGGUGAAAAGCCCGCUCGCCGGAAGACCAAGGGUUCCUGUCCAACGUUAAUCGGGGCAGGGUGAGUCGACCCCUAAGGCGAGGCCGAAAGGCGUAGUCGAUGGGAAACAGGUUAAUAUUCCUGUACUUGGUGUUACUGCGAAGGGGGGACGGAGAAGGCUAUGUUAGCCGGGCGACGGUUGUCCCGGUUUAAGCAUGUAGGCUGGUUGUCCAGGCAAAUCCGGAUAAUCAAGGCUGAGGUGUGAUGACGAGGCACUACGGUGCUGAAGUAACAAAUGCCCUGCUUCCAGGAAAAGCCUCUAAGCAUCAGGUAACAUUAAAUCGUACCCCAAACCGACACAGGUGGUCAGGUAGAGAAUACCAAGGCGCUUGAGAGAACUCGGGUGAAGGAACUAGGCAAAAUGGUGCCGUAACUUCGGGAGAAGGCACGCUGGUGUGUAGGUGAAGUCCCUGCGGAUGGAGCUGAGACCAGUCGAAGAUACCAGCUGGCUGCAACUGUUUAUUAAAAACACAGCACUGUGCAAACACGAAAGUGGACGUAUACGGUGUGACGCCUGCCCGGUGCCGGAAGGUUAAUUGAUGGGGUUAUCCGUAAGGAGAAGCUCUUGAUCGAAGCCCCGGUAAACGGCGGCCGUAACUAUAACGGUCCUAAGGUAGCGAAAUUCCUUGUCGGGUAAGUUCCGACCUGCACGAAUGGCGUAAUGAUGGCCAGGCUGUCUCCACCCGAGACUCAGUGAAAUUGAACUCGCUGUGAAGAUGCAGUGUACCCGCGGCAAGACGGAAAGACCCCGUGAACCUUUACUAUAGCUUGACACUGAACAUUGAGCCUUGAUGUGUAGGAUAGGUGGGAGGCUUUGAAGCGUGGACGCCAGUCUGCGUGGAGCCAACCUUGAAAUACCACCCUUUAAUGUUUGAUGUUCUAACGUUGGCCCCUUACCGGGGUUGCGGACAGUGUCUGGUGGGUAGUUUGACUGGGGCGGUCUCCUCCCAAAGCGUAACGGAGGAGCACGAAGGUUAGCUAAUCCUGGUCGGACAUCAGGAGGUUAGUGCAAUGGCAUAAGCUAGCUUGACUGCGAGCGUGACGGCGCGAGCAGGUGCGAAAGCAGGUCAUAGUGAUCCGGUGGUUCUGAAUGGAAGGGCCAUCGCUCAACGGAUAAAAGGUACUCCGGGGAUAACAGGCUGAUACCGCCCAAGAGUUCAUAUCGACGGCGGUGUUUGGCACCUCGAUGUCGGCUCAUCACAUCCUGGGGCUGAAGUAGGUCCCAAGGGUAUGGCUGUUCGCCAUUUAAAGUGGUACGCGAGCUGGGUUUAGAACGUCGUGAGACAGUUCGGUCCCUAUCUGCCGUGGGCGCUGGAGAAUUGAGGGGGGCUGCUCCUAGUACGAGAGGACCGGAGUGGACGCAUCACUGGUGUUCGGGUUGUCAUGCCAAUGGCACUGCCCGGUAGCUAAAUGCGGAAGAGAUAAGUGCUGAAAGCAUCUAAGCACGAAACUUGCCCCGAGAUGAGUUCUCCCUGAGACUUUAAGUCUCCUGAAGGAACGUUGAAGACGACGACGUUGAUAGGCCGGGUGUGUAAGCGCAGCGAUGCGUUGAGCUAACCGGUACUAAUGAACCGUGAGGCUUAACCUU
RNAcentral lists this ribosomal RNA (2902 nucleotides) under Klebsiella pneumoniae. Its description in RNAcentral is "23S ribosomal RNA". It matches the Rfam family "Bacterial large subunit ribosomal RNA". Lineage: Bacteria; Pseudomonadati; Pseudomonadota; Gammaproteobacteria; Enterobacterales; Enterobacteriaceae. The record is from RNAcentral.